This 301-nucleotide ribosomal RNA is filed under the name uncultured bacterium. Its description in RNAcentral is "partial 16S ribosomal RNA". It matches the Rfam family "Bacterial small subunit ribosomal RNA", at positions 509 to 807 of the family's 1533-position model. The record is from RNAcentral.
CAGCAGCCACGGGAAUACGAAGGGUGCAAGCGUUAAUCGGAAUUACUGGGCGUAAAGCGUGCGUAGGCGGUUUGUUAAGUCUGCUGUGAAAUCCCCGGGCUCAACCUGGGAAUGGCAGUGGAUACUGGCAAGCUAGAGUGUGUCAGAGGAUGGUGGAAUUCCCGGUGUAGCGGUGAAAUGCGUAGAGAUCGGGAGGAACAUCAGUGGCGAAGGCGGCCAUCUGGGACAACACUGACGCUGAAGCACGAAAGCGUGGGGAGCAAACAGGAUUAGAGACCCCCGUAGUCCCUGUCUCUUAUAC